CGGACGGUGAGUAACGCGUGGGUAACCUGCCUUAUACCGGGGGGAUAACACUUAGAAAUAGGUGCUAAUACCGCAUAAGCGCACGGUGUCGCAUGACACAGUGUGAAAAACUCCGGUGGUAUAAGAUGGACCCGCGUCUGAUUAGCCAGUUGGCAGGGUAACGGCCUACCAAAGCGACGAUCAGUAGCCGGCCUGAGACGGGUGAACGGCCACAUUGGGACUGAGACACGGCCCAAACUCCUACGGGAGGCAGCAGUGGGGAAUAUCGCACAAUGGGGGAAACCCUGAUGCAGCGACGCCGCCGUGAGUGAAGAAGUAUUUCGGUAUGUAAAGCUCUAUCAGCCAGGGAAGAAGAAAUGACGGUACCUGACUAAGAAGCCCCGGCUAACUACGUG
This 395-nucleotide ribosomal RNA is filed under the name uncultured bacterium. RNAcentral describes it as "bacterial SSU rRNA". It matches the Rfam family "Bacterial small subunit ribosomal RNA", at positions 99 to 507 of the family's 1533-position model. The record is from RNAcentral.